Molecule: ribosomal RNA, 267 nt
Filed under: uncultured Glomus
Lineage: Eukaryota; Fungi; Glomeromycota; Glomeromycetes; Glomerales; Glomeraceae
Description: partial small subunit ribosomal RNA
Rfam family: Eukaryotic small subunit ribosomal RNA
Source: RNAcentral
UAAAGUUGUUGCAGUUAAAAAGCUCGUAGUUGAAUUUCGAGACCGGUUUACUGGUCGUGCUUUUGUACGUACUGGUAUAAUCGGUUGCUCUUUUCUGACGAACUAUAAUGCCAUUAAUUUGGUGUUAUAGGGAAUCAGGACUGUUACUUUGAAAAAAUUAGAGUGUUUAAAGCAGGCUCACGCUUGAAUACAUUAGCAUGGAAUAACGAAAUAGGACGUUUGAUUUUAUUUUGUUGGUUUCUAGGAUCGACGUAAUGAUUAAUAGGG